RNAcentral lists this ribosomal RNA (422 nucleotides) under uncultured bacterium. RNAcentral describes it as "bacterial SSU rRNA". It matches the Rfam family "Bacterial small subunit ribosomal RNA", at positions 355 to 774 of the family's 1533-position model. The record is from RNAcentral.
UGAGGAAUAUUGGGCAAUGCCCGCAAGGGUGACCCAGCAACGCCGCGUGGAGGAUGAAUGUCGUAAGAUUGUAAACUCCUGUUAGAGGGGAAGAAUAGUACCGGUUGGACCGGUAUAUGACUGUACCCUCAGAGAAAGCCCCGGCUAACUACGUGCCAGCAGCCGCGGUAAUACGUAGGGGGCAAGCGUUGUCCGGAUUUACUGGGUGUAAAGGGCGCGCAGGCGGGAUAAAAAGUCAGUGGUGAAAUCCUACAGCUUAACUGUAGAACUGCCUUUGAUACUUUUAUUCUUGAGUUCGGGAGAGAGAGGCGGAAUUCCAGGUGGAGUGGUGAAAUACGUAGAUAUCUGGAAGAACACCAGUUGCGAAGGCGGUCUCUUGGUCCGACACUGACGCUGAGGCGCGAAAGCGUGGGGAGCAAACA